UAAAAUGAUAUUAUCUCAAUUUGUAACCUAAAAUUUUCUUUUUAGGUUUCUUUUGACUCUAAAGUCAUUUGUUCGUAAUUGAGCACAUCCAGAAGGAUCUAUUAUAGAAGGAUAUUUAGCUCAUGAAUGCUUGAUAUUUUGUUCAAGAUAUCUAUCUAGGGUGGAGACUAGUUUUAAUCGAUCUGCUCAUGUCAUACCCUAAUUUCGUCCG
RNAcentral lists this long non-coding RNA (211 nucleotides) under Glycine max (soybean). RNAcentral describes it as "long non-coding RNA (GMAX_LNC000575)". The record is from RNAcentral. Lineage: Eukaryota; Viridiplantae; Streptophyta; Magnoliopsida; Fabales; Fabaceae.